This is a long non-coding RNA of Lathyrus oleraceus (garden pea), 780 nucleotides long. RefSeq lists it as uncharacterized. The record is from RefSeq and is a predicted model, not a curated record. Lineage: Eukaryota; Viridiplantae; Streptophyta; Magnoliopsida; Fabales; Fabaceae. The transcript is spliced from 2 exons.
CACAUUUCAAUUAUAUCACAAAUAAUAAUUAAGUACACACAUAAAAUUAUAAUAAUUAAUAUAAAUUUAUGCAUCUCACCACGGAUCGAAGAAAAUGCAAAACACAAACAAAGGAAUCUAGUGUGUGGUGGCACUCCGUCGCACCGACGGAUUUGAGUUUGGCCAAACGAAGAAGAAGCUUCGUUGAAUCUGGUACUUGCAAAAACAGAAGGAAGGUAGGACUACAGUCCAGUGAUGACCUGGUUCAAAGAGGAACUAUGGAGGUUUCACGUCUAGAGAGGGACAUGGUUCAUAGAGGAACCAGAGACAAGGGAAAAUAAGUAAUAUAUCUCUGAUCCCCGAGAUUUGGUACCACAUGCAUUUUGAGAAUGAGAUGGUGGUAUUAGUAUUUUUCAUUUGCAUUGUUAUCUAUUUGAUUGUGUUUUGGGGUGUGGAUGAUGUAUGUUAUAACUCAUUAUUACUAUUAUGAUGUUGUAUUUCACCGUUAAUAUUUGUUAGAUGUAUUCUCACCUCUUAUUUGUUGUUGUGGCAUUUGUGCUCCUCGGGAGUACAAACAACCAGGUACAUGAAUAGCUGCUUGAGUUAGAGGAUGGCGUCGAUGCCUCUUUAGAUUUUAUCAUUGGGUAUUAGAGGAGUUGCUCUAAUAUGUAGCACUGGGGAUGGGAUGUUCAUUCUUUAUUUGUGUUAUGAUUUCCUUAUGUUGGAGUUUUUUUUGUGAGACUUAUAUGUCGAACUUGCUGAUUUCCGUUGCUUAUUUUUAUAUGACUAUUUUGUGUUUGA